This 681-nucleotide long non-coding RNA is filed under the name Citrus x clementina. RNAcentral describes it as "Citrus clementina (C. clementina) long non-coding RNA (CCLE_LNC003562)". Lineage: Eukaryota; Viridiplantae; Streptophyta; Magnoliopsida; Sapindales; Rutaceae. The record is from RNAcentral.
CUUAAUUGUACAGGGAUCAGUGUGUAAAUUAUUCAUAUUUUAUUCAAAAAUCUCAAAAUAUUUUAAAACCCAGGGGGGGCCAUGGCACCCUUUAGUCUUACAUGGCGUCCGCCCCUGAAUGAGGUUCAAGUUUAGGUUGGAUUGGAGUAGUUAUAAGAAACUCGAGGGAAGAGCUUGUGGCCAUUUUAACAAUAUUGGAAGGCAUCAAGUUGGCAAUGGACUUGGGGCUUACUCCACUUGUGAUUGAGUCAGAUUUAAUUAUAGUGGCAAUUUGGAGAAUGAUUGGGUGUCAAUUAAUAUUAGAACUCUCAUUUAUAACAGAAGUUUGUUUAUUGUGAAACAUGUACCGAGGUCUUGUAACUUAGUGUAUUGAGGUCUUGUAACUUAGUGUAUUGAGGUCUUGUAACUUAGUGGUUCACAAUGUUGUUAAGAUGGCUCUCGAACAAUCAGAGUUGUGUACGGUCAUGUUUGGGAGCAGGACAAAGUGUGCGAUUAGACUAAUUGUUUGGAUAAUAUAUCUAAUCACAUGUUUGGCAAACACAUUAAGAUUAGAUUAAGUGGACUAAAUUUAAAUUUAGUCCUACAAUUAUAUAAUUAGUUAUCCUCAUUUUCACACGGGUUUAAGGAGUAUUAGCAAUGUUUUAUUUGUUUAUCCUUUAUGAUUUCUUUUUAUUUGUUUUG